Molecule: transfer RNA, 68 nt
Filed under: Zygnema circumcarinatum
Lineage: Eukaryota; Viridiplantae; Streptophyta; Zygnematophyceae; Zygnematales; Zygnemataceae
Description: tRNA-Arg
Source: RNAcentral
GAACGCAGUGAGCGCCCGACCGUUUGGGUGACGAAGUCACAGGAGCGUAGCGCGGCGCUCACUGCGUU